GGGGGAUGGAUUCCUGAAAACCUCUGAGUAUAUUCUUGUCUGGUAUGAUAGCAUGAAGUUAUGGUAGUUUUGGCCAUAGGUUAUCCUGUGUUGUUGAAUGCCUGUAAAAUAUAUAAUUAAUGGUGUGUGAGAUGGUUUUAGAUUAAGGUGGCAAAAAAUGAAGCAAAACCUAGGAGAAAUGUUAUGACACAGGUUGAGCUAUGUCGUGUUCCAAUGAGAUUCUUUAAAGCCAGGUGAAUAGGUGUUAUGCGUUCUACAAGU
Molecule: non-coding RNA, 261 nt
Organism: Pelobates cultripes (western spadefoot toad)
Lineage: Eukaryota; Metazoa; Chordata; Amphibia; Anura; Pelobatidae
Source: the annotation of a GenBank genome assembly